This 600-nucleotide unclassified non-coding RNA is filed under the name Hevea brasiliensis (rubber tree). The record is from RNAcentral. Lineage: Eukaryota; Viridiplantae; Streptophyta; Magnoliopsida; Malpighiales; Euphorbiaceae.
GCCCGACUUGGAGUACAUAGAUAAGGAGAAUAUCUGCGAAAAAGGAUCAGUAUUCUUCCCAUUCCUAAAGAAACUCUGGAUCGAUAAUUGUCCUAACCUAAAGGGAUGGUGGAAGAAGAGAUUUGAUGAUCCAACAUCAAAAAUAUCAGAGCUGCCCCAGUUUCCUUGUCUUUCUUUGUUGGAAAUAAAGCAUUGUCCUAAGCUCUCUUGGAUGCCAUUGUUUCCAUCCCUUGAUGAGAGGUUGUAUUAUGUAAAUGCUGGCAUACAGCCGCUGCUGCAAACGAUGAAGAUCAAGACAAUGCCAAGUGAGCUUGAAGGUGUGCAGUUAUCAAACAGGGUUUCUUCCUUCACAAAACUUAAAGAAUUAUGGCUUUCUGAAUUAACAGAUUUAGAGUACAUAGAUAGUGAGGGGGAUUGUUAUAGUGGAGGGCAAAGAGGAUCAACUGUUUUCCCAUCCUUGAAGAAACUUUGGAUCUAUUAUUGUCCUAACUUGAAGGGAUGGUGGAAGAAGAGGAAUGAUGACAUGACUACCACAACAGCAGCAGAUCUACCCUGGUUUCCUCGUCUUUCUCUAUUGGAAAUAAAGCAUUGUCCUAAGCU